Long non-coding RNA from Dicentrarchus labrax (European seabass), 588 nucleotides. RefSeq lists it as uncharacterized. The record is from RefSeq and is a predicted model, not a curated record. The transcript is spliced from 2 exons. Lineage: Eukaryota; Metazoa; Chordata; Actinopteri; Moronidae.
UUUUUUCUCCCCGGGGACAAAAUCACGCAAAGUCUCGCGUGAUUUCCAGAGUAGCGCUCGAAUGUAGCAUCGUGAGCUAACACUUUCUCUCGACCGUUAGCUGCCGUUAAAUCUCAAUGCCUCCGAAAACACACGUUUAGCGCGGUGUACUGACACCGAGGGGCACCUCCGGGUGUAUAUCUGAUGGGGAGCGGCCCGGUAAUCCCGACACCCGGGCCUCUUCUGAAGGCGCGAGUUGCGUCCGGUAACGGUUGCUAACCGCUAAGCUAACCGCUAAGCUAACGUCGCUAGGUUGCUACAUCCGCUUCCACUCCGCUCCGCACAGCAACCAGGAAGGAGGGAGCAGACGAGCAGGCGAGCUUGGCCCUCAAAUCGGUUGCUCCACUUCUGCGGACUAUUAAUUCAUAAAAAAAAAAAGGAAAAAAAAAGGAGCCUCGUCCGUGUGUUUUGUGAAAACGAGGAGCAGUUUGUAUAAUGUGUUUGUUUUCCAUUUGAUGGGCAACGCUCUGUUUCACAUCAACCCACAAAACCAGCCCGGCUACCACAACUAGAGCCCAGUCGUGCAUCAAACUACACCAGAACACACAG